AAAGUCGUAACAAGGUUUCCGUAGGUGAACCUGCGGAAGGAUCAUUACCGAUUUUUAGCGGACCUGAUCUUUUGGUCAUGGUCUCGCGAAAAACUUGUAUUUAAAACCCCACUCAUAAAUUGAAUCAUUUUUAUUAUAAAUAAUAAAGAUCACUUUCAACAACGGAUCUCUUGGCUCUC
Molecule: unclassified non-coding RNA, 179 nt
Filed under: Glomeromycotina sp.
Lineage: Eukaryota; Fungi; Glomeromycota
Description: partial contains small subunit ribosomal RNA, internal transcribed spacer 1, and 5.8S ribosomal RNA
Rfam family: Eukaryotic small subunit ribosomal RNA (bases 1-47)
Source: RNAcentral